This is a long non-coding RNA of Aphis gossypii (cotton aphid), 889 nucleotides long. RefSeq lists it as uncharacterized. The transcript has 3 exons. NCBI's taxonomy places the organism in Eukaryota, Metazoa, Arthropoda, Insecta, Hemiptera, Aphididae. The record is from RefSeq and is a predicted model, not a curated record.
UAUUUAUAUUUAAGGUUAAAAAGUUUAACACUAAGUUUUCCAUAAGUUUUCCUUCAUAUAGCUAUAGAGAAAACUCGAAACGUCAUUAUACUAUAUGGCUCAUAACAUUAUGAAACGAUUGUUUACAUUAUAAAUUUAUUAAACAAAAAUAAUGCCGUUAAUAUUAAAAUAGCAAAAUGAUGUAUAUCACAACCGAACUUACAAAGCAACUUGGCUUAUAUUAAAUCCAAUUUUGAAGUAUUAACUUUUAACUGUAGCUAUUAAACAACUACAAACACAUCCAUUAACAGAUUCGCUAAAAGUUAUAGAGGAUAUUUAAUCGAAAUUAUGUAAUUUACAUGGACCAUAUGAAAUUACCGUUCCGAUAAAACUUUAUAAUGUAUUAAUUAAAAACCAGGGUUUAAAUAGUUUAAAACAAAUAUCUAAAAUUAUCACCGGAGGGGAGUCCGUGGACCUUAAUUCAAUAGCAAAGGAUCUAACACGUAAUGAUCUAGUAUUUUUUAAGUAGCUUCCAUUAUUUCCGUCGACGUGGAACGUUCAUUUUCGCCACAUAAGUGUAUUCUAGCCGACAAUAGAAGAGCCUUCCAGUUCGAAAACACCUUAUAAUUGAAUGCAAUCACAAAGAUGCUGUCGGCAAGCCGCGCGAGCUGGUUGACGUAAAUGGUUAAUUAUAGUAACUACUAUUCCUUGAGCAAUACUAAACGGAUGAAGAACUCGGCUGAGAAGAAAGUAUCCUGUCGUCAGUUUAACAAAACAUUAUGUUUGUUGCAAGUGUAGAUAGGUACUAGUCAAUAUUCAAAAAUCGCAAAAAAUGAACAGGCUUUUUGAAUUUAAAAGAUUGUGAAUAAUUUUGAAUAAUUUAAUAAUCAAAUAAAUCAAGUAUUUUGUU